RNAcentral lists this ribosomal RNA (534 nucleotides) under uncultured bacterium. Its description in RNAcentral is "bacterial SSU rRNA". It matches the Rfam family "Bacterial small subunit ribosomal RNA", at positions 775 to 1308 of the family's 1533-position model. The record is from RNAcentral.
AGUCAAUAGAUACCCCGGUAGUCCACGCCGUAAACGAUGAGUGCCCAGGUGUCGGGGGACUUAGUCCUCGGCGCCGCAGCUAAACGCCUUAAGCACUCCGCCUGGGGAGUACGGCCGCAAGGUUAAAACUCAAAGGAAUUGACGGGGCCCGGCACAAGCGGUGGAGCAUGUGGUUUAAUUCGACGCAACGCGCAGAACCUUACCAGGCCUUGACAUCCCACGCGACCUCGAGAGAUCGGGGGUUCCCUUCGGGGUACGUGGAGACAGGUGCUGCAUGGCUGUCGUCAGCUCGUGUCGUGAGAUGUUGGGUUAAGUCCCGCAACGAGCGCAACCCUCGCUUCAGUUGCCAUCAUUCAGUUGGGCACUCUGGAGGGACUGCCGGUGACAAGCCGGAGGAAGGUGGGGAUGACGUCAAGUCCUCAUGGCCCUUACGGCCUGGGCUACACACGUGCUACAAUGGCGGUGACAGAGGGCAGCGAUCCCGCGAGGGGUAGCCAAUCUCCAAAAGCCGUCUCAGUUCAGAUUGCACUCUGC